AUGGAAUUUACAUUGGCACUAAAUAAGGAAUAUUGGAAGAUAGUAUGCCACAGUAUCUGUUACGAGUCAAUCAAAUUAUGGUUCUUGGUUGAAGCCCUCUUGAUGAACGACACCCCAUGCAGUAGCGACAAUGACCACAUGGAAGAGAUUAAGAACAUCAGCAACAUCUUGCGGUGUUCCUCCUCAUCGUUGUUGUCACCACCGAAUAAUGACGACCAGCUCAUUAGACCGCUACUAGAGCAUUGGAGCCUUCUUGAGAAGGCAACACACCUGAGAUCGGGCGAGAGUGAGCGAGAGAGAUCGAGGGAGGGAGGGAAGGGGGGAUUGGAAGAGAGAUCUUGCACACAUUGGUAG
Molecule: ribosomal RNA, 354 nt
Filed under: Triticum aestivum (bread wheat)
Lineage: Eukaryota; Viridiplantae; Streptophyta; Magnoliopsida; Poales; Poaceae
Description: partial small subunit ribosomal RNA
Source: RNAcentral